CAAUAGCGUAUAUUUAAGUUGUUGCAGUUAAAAAGCUCGUAGUCGGAUUUUGGCUGAGAACGAUCGGUCCGCCGUUAGGUGUGCACUGAUUGGUCUCAGCUUCCUGGUGAGGAGGUGUGCUUCACGGCCACUUAGUCACCGUGGUUACUUUGAAAAAAUUAGAGUGUUCAAAGCGGGCUUACGCUUGAAUAUAUUAGCAUGGAAUAACACCAUAGGACUCCUGUCCUAUUUCGUUGGCCUCGGGACGGGAGUAAUGAUUAAGAGGAACAGUUGGGGGCAUUCGUAUUUCAUUGUCAGAGGUGAAAUUCUUGGAUUUAUGAAAGACGAACUUCUGCGAAAGCAUUUGCCAAGGAUGUUUUCAUUGA
Molecule: ribosomal RNA, 365 nt
Filed under: uncultured eukaryote
Lineage: Eukaryota
Description: partial 18S ribosomal RNA
Rfam family: Eukaryotic small subunit ribosomal RNA
Source: RNAcentral